Long non-coding RNA from Raphanus sativus (radish), 1807 nucleotides. RefSeq lists it as uncharacterized. The record is from RefSeq and is a predicted model, not a curated record. NCBI's taxonomy places the organism in Eukaryota, Viridiplantae, Streptophyta, Magnoliopsida, Brassicales, Brassicaceae. The transcript is spliced from 9 exons.
AAGAAAAUCUGUUUUGCCACGUCACGAUCGCCCAAAUAGAAUGAGCAUUUUCUGUGGGCUACGUGAAAACCUCCAGCCCAAAACCUUUUUCGUUUUGCAGUUCUGUUCUCCAACUCUUACGCUUCCUCUUCUUCAAUCUCAGAGUUCAUACGUUACCUUAAACAAUCAAUGAUGAUUUUACAACUCAUACUGAAUGUUUCGUUCCACCUUCUCUCAAUCCUUCUUCUAUAUAGAUAUCUAUGUUUAGACCUAAAUUCACCAAAAUCAAAAACUCCUCUAGCUACAGCCAUGACCACGAAAUCCACAAGAGAAUCUCAGCUCUUCACCAGAAAAUCUCCUGUCGCCUUUUAUGUCCACAACCUUUCACCAGCACCACCUGAGUUAGAGAUUCCAUUUCGGUUAAUCCAUUGCAAAAGGUGAGACCUUUAUUGGCUUAGAGCUGCUAGGGUCAAGAUGGAGGUCCCUUCAGAUGGUACCAUACUGAAGAAGAGAAGACACGUGGCAAAAUCACUUCUCAAAUAUAGUCUAGGGGAUGCAGGAGAUCGAUCUUGAGUUGGAUACUAAGUAAAGAAAUAUCUUGCAGGAGAAAAUAAUUAAAAGGUAACACAACGUUUUAAUGACUGUGGCUUUUGGUUGGAAAAUGCAGAGGUUGAAAUUUUCUUCAUAUUCUGUAGUCAUUGAAAGAAGAACAUUAUAGGUAUCAUACGUAAAUUGUACUUUGUUAUAUUCUGAAGUUUUGUUUCUGAUGACAUUGACAGUACGGUGCCAACACCUCAUCUAUAAGUGUUGUUACUUUUAGGUCAGGCUCUGUCGUUUAAGGAUUUUUUUUUCCUGUUCAGCAGGAUGUGUGACAUGCUUUUCAGAGCAACCUCUCAUCCCCUUCCUGAACUUAUUUUCUUUCUUGACAACUGAGUGACAUGGAGAGAAUAUACGUUAAGUGGUUGAGACGAUAGAGUGCUUUGUAUCAACAGCUUGGAGACCACAAGAAGCGUACCAAUAAAAUUGAUAUCAAUCAGAGAAAAUCAUGCUUGCGAAGCAUACUUCCUCAGGGUGAUUAAGAUGGGAGCAAUGGAGAAGGAUGGGUAUACACUACGGUUUUGUUGCAAUCCACUAUGGACUGUGCCUACAGUUUUCGAUAAUUUCAGUGCGAAUGUAGUGGUUAACGGAGCCACCGUUAAUCUUGGAUUGUGGGAUACUGCAGGGCAAGGAUUACAAUAGAUUAAGACCACUUAGUUACAGUGGAGCAGAUUUUUUCAUAUUGGCCUUCUCUCUUAUCAGUAAAGCCAGUUAUGAAAAUGUCUCCAAAAAGUGGAUCCCUGAGUUGAAACAUUAGCUCCUGGUGUCCCCAUCAUUCUCUUUGGCUCAAAGCUCGAUGGUCUGUUGUUGCUGCUGCUCUCUAGAUCUUCGAGAUGAUAAACAGUUCUUCAUCGACCAUCCUGGUGCUGUCCCGAUUACUACUGCUCAGGGAGAGGAGCUGAGGAAGCUAAUAGAUGUUACGUCGAAUGCAGUUCCAAAUCUCAAGAGUUUGAAUACAGAAUGUGAAAGCGGUGUUUGACGCAGCCAUACGAGUGGUCUUGCGACCUCCGAAGCAAAAGAAGAAGAAGAGCAGAGCGCAGAAGGCGAGCUCCAUCCUAUGAUGAUGGUGAUGAUUGGAAAAGAUCUGUUUUUUUAUUUAUUUGUGGUUUUGGUAACAUUGCAUCAGUGAGUUAAUGGACAGACACCAAGUUUGGUUUUGAUUUUUUGUUUGUUUUUAAUAUUAAAUCGAGUUUAUUCGAAUCAGCAUCUUUUGCGUCUUCAAUUCAAUCCA